UACGAAGGGGGCUAGCGUUGCUCGGAAUCACUGGGCGUAAAGCGCACGUAGGCGGCUUUUUAAGUCAGGGGUGAAAUCCUGGAGCUCAACUCCAGAACUGCCUUUGAUACUGGGAAGCUCGAGUCCGGGAGAGGUGAGUGGAACUCCGAGUGUAGAGGUGAAAUUCGUAGAUAUUCGGAAGAACACCAGUGGCGAAGGCGGCUCACUGGCCCGGUACUGACGCUGAGGCACGAAAGCGUGGGGAGCAAACAGG
RNAcentral lists this ribosomal RNA (253 nucleotides) under uncultured bacterium. RNAcentral describes it as "partial 16S ribosomal RNA". It matches the Rfam family "Bacterial small subunit ribosomal RNA", at positions 524 to 776 of the family's 1533-position model. The record is from RNAcentral.